Molecule: ribosomal RNA, 484 nt
Filed under: uncultured bacterium
Lineage: Bacteria
Description: partial 16S ribosomal RNA
Rfam family: Bacterial small subunit ribosomal RNA
Source: RNAcentral
AUUGAACGCUGGCGGAAUGCUUUACACAUGCAAGUCGAGCGGCAGCACGGGGGCAACCCUGGUGGCGAGCGGCGAACGGAUGAGUAAUACAUCGGAACAUGCCCAGUCGUGGGGGAUAACACUUCGAAAGAAGUGCUAAUACCGCAUACGUCCUGAGGGAGAAAGCGGGGGAUCGCAAGACCUCGCGCGAUUGGAGUGGCCGAUGUCAGAUUAGCUAGUUGGUGGGGUAAAGGCCUACCAAGGCAACGAUCUGUAGCUGGUCUGAGAGGAUGAUCAACCACACUGGGACUGAGACACGGCCCAGACUCCUACGGGAGGCAGCAGUGGGGAAUUUUGGACAAUGGGGGCAACCCUGAUCCAGCCAUUCCGCGUGAGUGAAGAAGGCCUUCGGGUUGUAAAGCUCUUUCGGCAGGAACGAAACGGCGAGCUCUAACAUAGCUUGCUAAUGACGGUACCUGAAGAAGAAGCACCGGCUAACUACGUG